This 422-nucleotide ribosomal RNA is filed under the name uncultured archaeon. RNAcentral's name for it is "partial 16S ribosomal RNA". It matches the Rfam family "Archaeal small subunit ribosomal RNA", at positions 323 to 746 of the family's 1478-position model. The record is from RNAcentral.
CUACGGGUGGCUGCAGGCGAGAAAACUUUGCAAUGUGCGAAAGCACGACAAGGUUAAUCCGAGUGGUUUGUGUUAAACGAACCUUUUGGCAGUCCUAGAAACACUGUUGAAUAAGGGGUGGGCAAGUUCUGGUGUCAGCCGCCGCGGUAAAACCAGCACCUCAAGUGGUCAGGAUGAUUAUUGGGCCUAAAGCAUCCGUAGCCGGCUCUGUAAGUUUUCGGUUAAAUCUGUACGCUCAACGUACAGGCUGCCGGGAAUACUGCAGAGCUAGGGAGUGGGAGAGGUAGACGGUACUCGGUAGGAAGGGGUAAAAUCCUUUGAUCUAUUGAUGACCACCUGUGGCGAAGGCGGUCUACCAGAACACGUCCGACGGUGAGGGAUGAAAGCUGGGGGAGCAAACCGGAUUAGAUACCCGAGUAGUC